RNAcentral lists this unclassified non-coding RNA (352 nucleotides) under soil metagenome. RNAcentral describes it as "partial contains 5.8S ribosomal RNA, internal transcribed spacer 2, and large subunit ribosomal RNA". The stretch from base 1 to 120 matches the Rfam family "5.8S ribosomal RNA", at positions 35 to 154 of the family's 154-position model. The record is from RNAcentral.
GAUGAAGAACGUAGCGAAAUGCGAUAAGUAAUGUGAAUUGCAGAAUUCAGUGAAUCAUCGAAUCUUUGAACGCACAUUGCGCCCGCCAGUAUUCUGGCGGGCAUGCCUGUUCGAGCGUCAUUACAACCCUCAGGCCCCCGGGCCUGGCGUUGGGGAUCGGCGGAGCCCCCCGUGGGCACACGCCGUCCCCCAAAUACAGUGGCGGUCCCGCCGCAGCUUCCAUCGCGUAGUAGCUAACACCUCGCGACUGGAGAGCGGCGCGGCCACGCCGUAAAACACCCAACUCUUCUGAAGUUGACCUCGAAUCGGGUAGGAAUACCCGCUGAACUUAAGCAUAUCAAUAAGCGGAGGA